UACGUAGGGUGCGAGCGUUAAUCGGAAUUACUGGGCGUAAAGCGUGCGCAGGCGGUCGUUUAAGCCAGAUGUGAAAUCCCCGGGCUUAACCUGGGAACUGCAUUUGGGACUGGACGGCUAGAGUUUGGCAGAGGGAGGUGGAAUUCCACGUGUAGCAGUGAAAUGCGUAGAUAUGUGGAGGAACACCGAUGGCGAAGGCAGCCUCCUGGGCCAUGACUGACGCUCAUGCACGAAAGCGUGGGGAGCAAACAGG
This 253-nucleotide ribosomal RNA is filed under the name uncultured bacterium. RNAcentral describes it as "partial 16S ribosomal RNA". It matches the Rfam family "Bacterial small subunit ribosomal RNA", at positions 524 to 776 of the family's 1533-position model. The record is from RNAcentral.